UUUUCUAUCGUGGUAUCUACUUGUGUAAAUGUUUUAAAUUGACGAUCAAAUUAGUUCAUUGUAUUCAUAUAGGGUUAAAGUGUGUAGCUCUCAAAAAUCAUCAAAAUCAGAGUUAAAACUACCGUUAAAUCGUGUUUUUUCAUUUAUAACCGUCGAAAAGUUUUGUCCCGUUACUUGAUCUCUGAAUGUUUGUUUUUUACGAUUUUUGGCAUACGCGAUCUCAAAGCAUAUACAAACACGUUGGCGGUUGGAUCGUUGAAACUAGUUUCGUAGAAUGCGUAUCCCAUUAAAAUGAUACAUUCAUUAACACUAUGAGUUUUUUUUAUAUUUUCAUCAAGUAUAACAUAAGAUUUUGUGGUGUCCACUACUGUAAAUAUUUUAAAUUGAAGAUCGAAUUAGUUCAUUAUAUUCAUAUAGGGUCAAGGAGUGUAGCUCUCAAAAAUCAUCAAAAUCGGAGUUAAAACUACCGUUAAAUCAUGCUUUUUUGUUUAUAACCGUCGAAAAGUUUUGUCCCGUUACUUGAUCUCUGAAUGUUGUUUUUUUGUGAUUUUUGGCGUACACGAUCUCAAAGCAUAUACAAACAUGUUUGACGGUUGGAUCGUUCAAACUAGUUUCGUAGAAUUCGUAUCCCAUUAAAACAAUACAUUCACUAACACUUGGAGUUUAUUUAUAUUUUCGUCAAGUAUAACAUAAGAUUUUGUGGUGUCCACUAGUGUAAAUAUUUUAAAUUGAAGAUCGAAUUAGUUCAUUGUAUUCAUAUAGGGUCAAGGAGUGUAGCUCUAAAAAAUCAUCAAAAUCAAAGUUAAAACUAUCGUUAAAUCGUGUUUUUUCAUUUAUAACCGUCGAAAAGUUUUGUCCUGUUACUUGAUCUCUGAAUGUUUUUUUUUUUCGAUUUUUGGCAUAUGUGAUCUCGAAGUAUAUACAAACAAGAUUGACGGUUUGAUCGUUGAAACUAAUUUCGUACAAUGCAUUUCCCAUCAAGUUCAAUGGUAUAUAUAUUUAGUAAGUAGAUUUUAAUUUAUUUAUUUUGUACUCAUGCAAGAGAAAAGAAAAAGGACAAAAAAAAAAACACUUUACGCGACGUAGGUACACAUGCAUUGCGCAAAACAGCUUUGCACGA
RNAcentral lists this long non-coding RNA (1120 nucleotides) under Malus domestica (apple). RNAcentral describes it as "long non-coding RNA (MDOM_LNC011066)". The record is from RNAcentral. Lineage: Eukaryota; Viridiplantae; Streptophyta; Magnoliopsida; Rosales; Rosaceae.